AGAAGAAUCAGGACUUUCAACAGGGGAAGCUUUUAGAAUCUGAGAUAUUAUUGAUGUAAAUGCUUUGCUAGACACAAUUUUAAAGGGUUUAAUAUUUAAAUUCUUAUUAAAGACUAAAUUGAUUACAGACGCUCACUAAUUUUGUUUAAAUAAAACUAAAAUAUUACACUUUUUUUAUUGUGAUCUCGGUCACAAUAGAACUGCUCCAGCUCAAAAACUACAACAUCUAGACAAGAUUUAAAAAAAGUGGUGAUGAAAAGUGAUUAAAUCAACCUUUGUUGGAGUUUCACAAAUCAGAAAAAUGUUUCACAAAUCCCAAACAUGGCUCUAAAUAUUCUGCUAUUAGAGCAGAAUAAUCCAGUCCAGGUUUGAAGUGUCUGGAUGUAGUUUUGGAACUGGAGCAGUUCUAGUAUGAUCCUGAUGCAAAAAAGUGGUAAAAUAAACCUUUAUUGAAGUUUCACAAAUCAGAAAAAUGUUUCACAAAUCACAAACAUGGUUUUAAAUAUUCUGCUAUUAGAGCAGAAUAGUCCAGUCCAGGUUUGAAGAGUCUAGGUGUUGUAGUUUUUAAACUAGAGUCGAUUAAAGAUGCGGAAGGUAGAAAAAAAUUUAGUUAGACAUGACCUUUUUGUGGCUUAUUGUCAUUGUGGAAGGUAUCAAUGACAGUAUCACCAGUCACUGUUUAGGCCAUAACAAAAUAUUUCUUUAUUUAAAAUCCUUUGUUUUUAUACAAUAUUUCAAUUUGCUAAGGAGCUAAAUUUAUUUGACUUUAAUUAUCAAGAUUAACAGAAUAAAAAAAAACAAUUGUGUACUGAAUCUACAAGCAAUACAAUAAAAAUUUCAAAGCACAAAAAUGCAGAUAAAACAAUAUUAACAAAUAUAUAGAAAAUAAAGUGACAAUAUAGAAUUAAAUUUAAUAAAACACCCAAAAAAAAGCACAAAGUAAAGAUGUCAAGCUACUGAGAAGACAUGAAUCUUAAGACGAAGCUUUGAAGUCUGUAAUAUUAGAGCAGUUAUUGCAUAACUGCAAAUUAUUCCACAAUAUUGGAGCAGCAACUGCAACAGCACAAUUAGCAUAUAGAUGAAGUUUGAUUUAGAAGGUCCAGUGGAUAAAACAAGGUCAAACAUUUGUGAAUCUUCAAAAAUCAGCAAUAAGGUUCUUUAUAAGGUGCUUUAGUUUUUGCAGGAGUGCAAUCUUAUCUGCAGUCAUCUGCUGUGAAAGCAGAACCAGUGAUUUUUUUUUUAAAAAAAUAGCUGAAAACAACAUCUCUCUCUCUCUCUCUGUUAUGGAGCUCCCAUAGCUAAUUGGGCUCCAUAAAAAGAAAAAUAUUACAGACAACACACAGCACCCUCUACAUAACACAGCAAUCCAACAACAAAGUAUCUGGUCAGAGACCAAUAGACCAGGUGCAACACAGAGCACUGAAGGAGAUUCUUCCUGCCCAAAGCUGUAACCAUCUACAGUUAAAGUCAAAUUUAUUUACACCCCUGGCAAAUUUGCAUGUUAAAUUAUUUUCAUUCUCCCAAUAAGAUUGUUUCUGUUUGGAAAGGAGACAAGAAUCUCUAAACAUUAUGUAACAAAGUGAAAGGUUUGUACAUUGAAAACCCUUAUUAAUACACAAACUUUAUUGGCAUAUUAGAACAACCACACACUUUCAUAAAUGCUGGCAAGUACUGGCACAGUUCUUUUGGGUUUGUUUGUUUUUGACUAUAUAUCCAUCCCAGUGAUGAGCUUCAAGUCUCUGAGAUGCUUGCUUUCCUGUCAGGCAGGGAAACUCCUAAAUGUUAUUAAUUCCAGUCUGAUGAAACGUAGCAAAUGGAUAGUUUGUGAUAUGGUGUCACAAUAGCACCAGUUAUCUUUAAAAAAAAAAGUUCCCAUGAUUAUAGCAAAAUAUCUCUGCAUUUUGUUACUUUUGCAUAACUGCCAAAUUUCAGAUAAAGAUUUUUGUCCCAGCUCUUCAUCCAUUUAAAGUUGGGUAUUCCAGUGAAAACAGAAUUUACCCCAAAAAACGCUUUAAAAAAAAACUAAACUAAAAACGUAAACAGAUCAACAGAAGCUAUUGACCGUAAUGCUAAAGCAGUUUCUAACAAGUUUCUAAAAAUGGGGUUCCAUAUGUGAUUGCUACUUGAGAAUAUACAGCAAUAAUUUCCUUUCUUCAAGCAACCUAUAGAGAAGCUUUUGUGGCUGGCUAAAGUAACUGAAAGUGGCAGGUGUGGAUGUCUGUAGAGGCAUGGGCUAAGUACAGAAGCACAUGUAAAUCUAUACUAUAGCUUUACAGCUGGUGGACUCAGUAGGGAAUGGACUUUUAGACCGUCUGAGAGGCCUGGCCCACAAUCCCUCACUCAGUAAACUUAUUUAUUAGUUAAUAGUUUGUCAUUUCGGGGUUACUGUCAUUUCGAGGUUACUAUGUGGCGCUAAGCUAGAAAAAGUCACUCUUUUGUUGGUCUGUUUUCCGUUUUGUGCGUCAUGCCACUUUGGAGAAAAAAAAAAAAAAAAAAAA
Molecule: long non-coding RNA, 2498 nt
Organism: Xiphophorus hellerii (green swordtail)
Lineage: Eukaryota; Metazoa; Chordata; Actinopteri; Cyprinodontiformes; Poeciliidae
Exons: 2
Source: RefSeq, a predicted model, not a curated record